RNAcentral lists this ribosomal RNA (407 nucleotides) under uncultured bacterium. Its description in RNAcentral is "bacterial SSU rRNA". It matches the Rfam family "Bacterial small subunit ribosomal RNA", at positions 354 to 773 of the family's 1533-position model. The record is from RNAcentral.
GUGGGGAAUAUUGCACAAUGGGCGAAAGCCUGAUGCAGCGACGCCGCGUGAGGGAUGACGGCCUUCGGGUUGUAAACCUCUUUCAGCAGGGAAGAAGCGAAAGUGACGGUACCUGCAGAAGAAGCACCGGCUAACUACGUGCCAGCAGCCGCGGUAAUACGUAGGGUGCGAGCGUUGUCCGGAAUUAUUGGGCGUAAAGAGCUUGUAGGCGGUUUGUCGCGUCUGCUGUGAAAUUUCGGGGCUCAACCCCGAACUUGCAGUGGGUACGGGCAGACUAGAGUGUGGUAGGGGAGACUGGAAUUCCUGGUGUAGCGGUGAAAUGCGCAGAUAUCAGGAGGAACACCGAUGGCGAAGGCAGGUCUCUGGGCCACUACUGACGCUGAGAAGCGAAAGCAUGGGGAGCGAAC